This 468-nucleotide ribosomal RNA is filed under the name uncultured bacterium. RNAcentral describes it as "partial 16S ribosomal RNA". It matches the Rfam family "Bacterial small subunit ribosomal RNA", at positions 28 to 507 of the family's 1533-position model. The record is from RNAcentral.
GACGAACGCUGGCGGCGUGCUUAACACAUGCAAGUCGAACGGAAAGGCCCUGAUUUUGUGGGGUGCUCGAGUGGCGAACGGGUGAGUAACACGUGAGUAACCUGUCCUUGACUUUGGGAUAAAUUCAGGAAACUGGGGCUAAUACCGGAUAGGAGCUCCUGCUGCACGGGGGGGGAAGGAAAGUUUCGGCGGUUGGGGAUGGACUCGCGGCUUAUCAGCUUGUUGGUGGGGUAGUGGCUUACCAAGGCUUUGACGGGUAGCCGGCCUGAGAGGUUGACCGGCCACCUGGGGCCUGCGGUACGGCCCAGACUCCUACGUGAGGCAGCGGUGGGGAAUAUUGCACAAUGGGCGGAAGCCUGAUGCAGCAACGCCGCGUGCGGGAUGACGGCCUUCGGGUUGUAAACCGCUUUCGCCUGUGACGAAGCGUGAGUGACGGUAAUGGGUAAAGAAGCACCGGCUAACUACGUG